This 1538-nucleotide ribosomal RNA is filed under the name Klebsiella pneumoniae. RNAcentral describes it as "bacterial SSU rRNA". It matches the Rfam family "Bacterial small subunit ribosomal RNA". Lineage: Bacteria; Pseudomonadati; Pseudomonadota; Gammaproteobacteria; Enterobacterales; Enterobacteriaceae. The record is from RNAcentral.
AAAUUGAAGAGUUUGAUCAUGGCUCAGAUUGAACGCUGGCGGCAGGCCUAACACAUGCAAGUCGAGCGGUAGCACAGAGAGCUUGCUCUCGGGUGACGAGCGGCGGACGGGUGAGUAAUGUCUGGGAAACUGCCUGAUGGAGGGGGAUAACUACUGGAAACGGUAGCUAAUACCGCAUAACGUCGCAAGACCAAAGUGGGGGACCUUCGGGCCUCAUGCCAUCAGAUGUGCCCAGAUGGGAUUAGCUAGUAGGUGGGGUAACGGCUCACCUAGGCGACGAUCCCUAGCUGGUCUGAGAGGAUGACCAGCCACACUGGAACUGAGACACGGUCCAGACUCCUACGGGAGGCAGCAGUGGGGAAUAUUGCACAAUGGGCGCAAGCCUGAUGCAGCCAUGCCGCGUGUGUGAAGAAGGCCUUCGGGUUGUAAAGCACUUUCAGCGGGGAGGAAGGCGUUAAGGUUAAUAACCUUGGCGAUUGACGUUACCCGCAGAAGAAGCACCGGCUAACUCCGUGCCAGCAGCCGCGGUAAUACGGAGGGUGCAAGCGUUAAUCGGAAUUACUGGGCGUAAAGCGCACGCAGGCGGUCUGUCAAGUCGGAUGUGAAAUCCCCGGGCUCAACCUGGGAACUGCAUUCGAAACUGGCAGGCUAGAGUCUUGUAGAGGGGGUAGAAUUCCAGGUGUAGCGGUGAAAUGCGUAGAGAUCUGGAGGAAUACCGGUGGCGAAGGCGGCCCCUGGACAAAGACUGACGCUCAGGUGCGAAAGCGUGGGGAGCAAACAGGAUUAGAUACCCUGGUAGUCCACGCCGUAAACGAUGUCGAUUUGGAGGUUGUGCCCUUGAGGCGUGGCUUCCGGAGCUAACGCGUUAAAUCGACCGCCUGGGGAGUACGGCCGCAAGGUUAAAACUCAAAUGAAUUGACGGGGGCCCGCACAAGCGGUGGAGCAUGUGGUUUAAUUCGAUGCAACGCGAAGAACCUUACCUGGUCUUGACAUCCACAGAACUUAGCAGAGAUGCUUUGGUGCCUUCGGGAACUGUGAGACAGGUGCUGCAUGGCUGUCGUCAGCUCGUGUUGUGAAAUGUUGGGUUAAGUCCCGCAACGAGCGCAACCCUUAUCCUUUGUUGCCAGCGGUCCGGCCGGGAACUCAAAGGAGACUGCCAGUGAUAAACUGGAGGAAGGUGGGGAUGACGUCAAGUCAUCAUGGCCCUUACGACCAGGGCUACACACGUGCUACAAUGGCAUAUACAAAGAGAAGCGACCUCGCGAGAGCAAGCGGACCUCAUAAAGUAUGUCGUAGUCCGGAUUGGAGUCUGCAACUCGACUCCAUGAAGUCGGAAUCGCUAGUAAUCGUAGAUCAGAAUGCUACGGUGAAUACGUUCCCGGGCCUUGUACACACCGCCCGUCACACCAUGGGAGUGGGUUGCAAAAGAAGUAGGUAGCUUAACCUUCGGGAGGGCGCUUACCACUUUGUGAUUCAUGACUGGGGUGAAGUCGUAACAAGGUAACCGUAGGGGAACCUGCGGUUGGAUCACCUCCUUA